CAGCAGCCACGGUAAUACGGAGGGGGCUAGCGUUGUUCGGAUUUACUGGGCGUAAAGCGCACGUAGGCGGAUCGAUCAGUCAGGGGUGAAAUCCCAGAGCUCAACUCUGGAACUGCCUUUGAUACUGUCGAUCUGGAGUAUGGAAGAGGUGAGUGGAAUUCCGAGUGUAGAGGUGAAAUUCGUAGAUAUUCGGAGGAACACCAGUGGCGAAGGCGGCUCACUGGUCCAUUACUGACGCUGAGGAGCGAAAGCGUGGGGAGCGAACAGGAUUAGAUACCCCCGUAGUCCCUGUCUCUUAUAC
RNAcentral lists this ribosomal RNA (301 nucleotides) under uncultured bacterium. RNAcentral describes it as "partial 16S ribosomal RNA". It matches the Rfam family "Bacterial small subunit ribosomal RNA", at positions 509 to 807 of the family's 1533-position model. The record is from RNAcentral.